Molecule: long non-coding RNA, 1092 nt
Organism: Gorilla gorilla gorilla (western lowland gorilla)
Lineage: Eukaryota; Metazoa; Chordata; Mammalia; Primates; Hominidae
Exons: 3
Source: RefSeq, a predicted model, not a curated record
AGUCCCAGUCUGACUUACCUCCAGAAGUGAUAGAAAAGUAGAGGGACAUUCAGCCCCAGCGUGAGCCACUCUUGCGCACACAGGAACAUAAUGCAGAAGAGGCUAUGGAUGGAGUAUUCUGGCAGCACCAGCUGAAGAGGGAGCAGAGACACAGCCCUGAGUUAGAGGAGGAAAACGCCACUCCUGCUUCUAUGGCAGCUGACUUCUGCCUGGACACUGCCUCUCACAGGCGGUUGACACAAAGGCCCUCCCUGCAGCAACAUAGAGCCACUGCCCCAACACAGGUCCAUUUCUGAUACGCAUGAAGAGCCUACUAUGAGGUGUCAAACACCGCGGCAGGCAUUGGAGGUGCCAGGAUGAGUUCAAUGAGCCUGGUGACAAUGUUCCAGGCACCCCCAGGCUGAUGGGAGAGACCGACAGCUGAACACUGGACCAUGCUGCAGCCAGCACUCACACACUGACUGAAGCUCUAGCACUGGCUGGUCCCUUACAGGUGAGUACAGUUGGUCACAAAGGGUGUGGACAAAGAAGAAUCCAUGGAAAUUCAAACUCAACUCAACUCUCCAAGCUUUGAGCACCCAAUGCCCUGGAUUAAAUAUGGCAGGAGGCCCAGCAAAGACCUUACAAUAGAUCGGGAGAGAUAAACCGAAAACCUAAGUGACUAUAUAAUCCAAGGCUGAAUAUAGGGAGAAGCAAAAUAGAAGGAUAAGCAUAAUAGGGUCAAAGGAGGAGGGAGGCAGAUCAGCCAACACUGGCCCUUGCUGGGAUACACACUGCUAUGGACUGAAUGUUUGUGUCCUCCCCUAAAUUCAUAUAUUGAAGUCCUAAUCCCCAUUGUGAUGGCAUUAGGAGGUGGUGUCUUUGGGAGGUAAUUGGGUCAUCAGAGUGGAGCCCUCAUGAAUGGGAUUAGUGCCCUCAUAAGGAAAGACACUAAGGAGCAAGCUUCUCUUCUCUGCCAUGUGAGGAUACAGUGAGAAGGUGGCCAUCUGCAGAUCAGGAAGAGGGCCCUCAUCAGAACCCAGUCAUGCUGGCACCCUGAUCUUGAGGUUUUAACCUCCAGAACUGUGAGAAUAAAUUUCUGUUAAGCCACCA